Molecule: ribosomal RNA, 370 nt
Filed under: uncultured bacterium
Lineage: Bacteria
Description: bacterial SSU rRNA
Rfam family: Bacterial small subunit ribosomal RNA
Source: RNAcentral
GUAGGGAGCAAGCGUUGUCCGGAUUUACUGGGUGUAAAGGGUGCGUAGGCGGCUUUGCAAGUCAGAUGUGAAAUCUAUGGGCUCAACCCAUAAACUGCAUUUGAAACUGUAGAGCUUGAGUGAAGUAGAGGCAGGCGGAAUUCCCCGUGUAGCGGUGAAAUGCGUAGAGAUGGGGAGGAACACCAGUGGCGAAGGCGGCCUGCUGGGCUUUAACUGACGCUGAGGCACGAAAGCGUGGGUAGCAAACAGGAUUAGAUACCCUGGUAGUCCACGCUGUAAACGAUGAUUACUAGGUGUGGGGGGUCUGACCCCUUCCGUGCCGGAGCUAACACAAUAAGUAAUCCACCUGGGGAGUACGGCCGCAAGGUUG